AUCCAUCUGACGAGUCCCGAAUAGGGCGAAACGUGUGUUACCCUGGAU
Molecule: non-coding RNA, 48 nt
Filed under: Trichobilharzia regenti
Lineage: Eukaryota; Metazoa; Platyhelminthes; Trematoda; Strigeidida; Schistosomatidae
Source: RNAcentral